Molecule: ribosomal RNA, 460 nt
Filed under: uncultured bacterium
Lineage: Bacteria
Description: partial 16S ribosomal RNA
Rfam family: Bacterial small subunit ribosomal RNA
Source: RNAcentral
CCUACGGGAGGCAGCAGUGAGGAAUAUUGGUCAAUGGCCGGAAGGCUGAACCAGCCAUGCCGCGUGAAGGUCAGUGCCCUAUGGGCGUUAAACUUCUUUUGUGCGGGAGCAAUAAUGGUCACGUGUGGCCAGACGAGAGUACCGUACGAAUAAGCAUCGGCUAACUCCGUGCCAGCAGCCGCGGUAAUACGGGGGAUGCAAGCGUUAUCCGGAUUUAUUGGGUUUAAAGGGUGCGUAGGCUGUGAGGUAAGUCAGCGGUGAAAUGCCCCCGCUCAACGGGGUGAAGUGCCAUUGAUACUGGCUGGCUGGAAGGCGGAUGCCGUGGGAGGAAUGUGUGGUGUAGCGGUGAAAUGCAUAGAUAUCACACAGAACACCGAUUGCGAAGGCAUCUCACGAAUCCGCGAUUGACGCUGAUGCACGAAAGUGUGGGUAUCAAACAGGAUUAGAUACCCGAGUAGUC